GACUGGGUGGCAGAAUGGUAAUGCACCUUCUUUGCACGGAGGGUCACGUCGGUUCAAUUCCGACCCCAGUCU
This 72-nucleotide transfer RNA is filed under the name Gammaproteobacteria bacterium. Its description in RNAcentral is "tRNA-Ala". It matches the Rfam family "tRNA". From Rfam's summary of the family: Transfer RNA (tRNA) molecules are approximately 80 nucleotides in length. Their secondary structure includes four short double-helical elements and three loops (D, anti-codon, and T loops). Lineage: Bacteria; Pseudomonadati; Pseudomonadota; Gammaproteobacteria. The record is from RNAcentral.